CCUACGGGCGGCUGCAGUGGGGAAUAUUGCACAAUGGGCGCAAGCCUGAUCCAGCCAUACCGCGUGGGUGAAGAAGGCCUUCGGGUUGUAAAGCCCUUUUGUUGGGAAAGAAAUCCAGCCGGCUAAUACCUGGUUGGGAUGACGGUACCCAAAGAAUAAGCACCGGCUAACUUCGUGCCAGCAGCCGCGGUAAUACGAAGGGUGCAAGCGUUACUCGGAAUUACUGGGCGUAAAGCGUGCGUAGGUGGUUAGUGAAGUAAGAAGUGAAAGAGGAGGGCAGAAGGUGGGAACUGCAGUGGAUACUGGAUGACUAGAAUGUGGUAGAGGGGAGCGGAAUUCCUGGUGUAGCAGUGAAAUGCGUAGAGAUCAGGAGGAACAUCCAUGGCGAAGGCAGCUACCUGGACCAACAUUGACACUGAGGAACGAAAGCGUGGGGAGCAAACAGGAUUAGAUACCCUGGUAGUC
This 465-nucleotide ribosomal RNA is filed under the name uncultured Stenotrophomonas sp. RNAcentral's name for it is "bacterial SSU rRNA". It matches the Rfam family "Bacterial small subunit ribosomal RNA", at positions 338 to 795 of the family's 1533-position model. The record is from RNAcentral. Lineage: Bacteria; Pseudomonadati; Pseudomonadota; Gammaproteobacteria; Lysobacterales; Lysobacteraceae.